UGGGGAAUAUUGCACAAUGGGGGAAACCCUUAUGCAGCGACGCCGCGUGAACGAAGAAGGUAUUCGUAUCGUAAAGUUCUGUCCUAUGGGAAGAUAAUGACAGUACCAUAGAAGAAAGCUCCGGCUAAAUACGUGCCAGCAGCCGCGGUAAUACGUAUGGAGCGAGCGUUGUCCGGAAUUAUUGGGCGUAAAGGGUACGCAGGCGGUUUAAUAAGUCGAAUGUUAAAGAUCGGGGCUCAACCCCGUAAAGCAUUGGAAACUGAUAAACUUGAGUAGUGGAGAGGAAAGUGGAAUUCCUAGUGUAGUGGUGAAAUACGUAGAUAUUAGGAGGAAUACCAGUAGCGAAGGCGACUUUCUGGACACAAACUGACGCUGAGGUACGAAAGCGUGGGGAGCAAACAGG
This 403-nucleotide ribosomal RNA is filed under the name bacterium. RNAcentral's name for it is "partial 16S ribosomal RNA". It matches the Rfam family "Bacterial small subunit ribosomal RNA", at positions 355 to 776 of the family's 1533-position model. RNAcentral also lists the same sequence under 1 other name. The record is from RNAcentral.